This is a long non-coding RNA of Homo sapiens (human), 967 nucleotides long. NCBI's taxonomy places the organism in Eukaryota, Metazoa, Chordata, Mammalia, Primates, Hominidae. The record is from Ensembl.
GCCUUUGUGGACCUUCCAGCCCAGCCACCAGCAAACACAACCCAAGCUGCCAGGGAAACAUCGCCUGGAAAAUGUACACCCCUCUGCCCCACCCGCUCCUCGGCAAACGGCAGCCACGUGGCACCCAGCAGCAGCGGGGAGGGCCCGGUGGGUCCCAAGCUUCCAGCAGCAUGGGGAGGAAGGGAUGACCAGCUGUGGACAGGGCUGCAGAUGGGCAGAGCUUCCUGUUCCUGGGGGGACUCGACUCACUCAGCCCAGGAGCUCUGAGACCCCAUCCCUCCCCAGGAAACCCAGGCCCUGAGGCCAGGUCUACCUGGCUUACCUUGCAACCAAAGGCGAGAUCUUUCUCCGGAACCGGGUCAUUUGUUGGUGAGGAAGAUGGACUUCUGGGAGGCCUGCGCUCACAAGGCUCUACAUCCCGAAGUGAUCUCACCAAGGGGCACAACAGCCUGGAGAGGGAAGUGCCAUUGCUCCCAUUUUGCAGAUGGGCAAGAUGAGGCCCAGAGCCACCAAGCCCCUCUCGAGUUGCAGCUUCUGGGGGCAGAGCAGGAUGUACAUCUGGUCCCGCCUAACUAUACCCAGAGAAACCUGCCGUGGGCCCUUCUCCAUCACACAUGGUCAUCCCACACUAUCACAAAGGUCAGGGGAACCGCUAUGUCUGCAUAAAAACAAGUGUCAUCAGUUGGAUUUGUUCAAGGUGAGGCUUACCUGCUCCCUAAUAUAUCGAAAGCUCCUGUUGAAGGAGAGUCAGGGACAUGCCAGGAGGCCUGCCAUGCUGUGACCAGUUGUCAUCUCACCGAAUCCUCACCAGUACCACGUGGCUCAGCAAGGUUAGGUAACAUACUCAAAGUCACACCGCCUGCCCCCAAAUUAGUCAUGGCAAUCUCCUGUCUUCAAGGUCCAAGUUUUGCUGUUUCCUCAGGGUCAAAACCAAGGUCUUCUCCUGUCCUGGAAGAACAUCAAGCCA